Molecule: ribosomal RNA, 744 nt
Filed under: uncultured bacterium
Lineage: Bacteria
Description: bacterial SSU rRNA
Rfam family: Bacterial small subunit ribosomal RNA
Source: RNAcentral
AGAGUUUGAUCAUGGCUCAGAGCGAACGCUGGCGGCAGGCUUAACACAUGCAAGUCGAACGGACAUCUUCGGAUGUUAGUGGCAGACGGGUGAGUAACACGUGGGAACAUACCCCUUGGUUCGGAAUAACUCAGGGAAACUUGAGCUAAUACCGGAUAAGUCCGCGAGGAGAAAGAUUCAUCGCCGAGGGAUUGGCCCGCGUCUGAUUAGCUAGUUGGUGAGGUAAUGGCUCACCAAGGCGACGAUCAGUAGCUGGUCUGAGAGGAUGAUCAGCCACACUGGGACUGAGACACGGCCCAGACUCCUACGGGAGGCAGCAGUGGGGAAUAUUGGACAAUGGGCGCAAGCCUGAUCCAGCCAUGCCGCGUGAGUGAUGAAGGCCCUAGGGUUGUAAAGCUCUUUUGUGCGGGAAGAUAAUGACUGUACCGCAAGAAUAAGCCCCGGCAAACUUCGUGCCAGCAGCCGCGGUAAUACGAAGGGGGCUAGCGUUGCUCGGAAUCACUGGGCGUAAAGGGCGCGUAGGCGGACUGUUAAGUCGGGGGUGAAAGCCCGGAGCUCAACUCCGGAAUUGCCUUCGAUACUGGCAGUCUCGAGACCGGAAGAGGUAAGUGGAACUGCGAGUGUAGAGGUGAAAUUCGUAGAUAUUCGCAAGAACACCAGUGGCGAAGGCGGCUUACUGGUCCGGUUCUGACGCUGAGGCGCGAAAGCGUGGGGAGCAAACAGGAUUAGAUACCCUAGUAGUCC